Molecule: ribosomal RNA, 446 nt
Filed under: uncultured Anaerolineaceae bacterium
Lineage: Bacteria; Bacillati; Chloroflexota; Anaerolineae; Anaerolineales; Anaerolineaceae
Description: bacterial SSU rRNA
Rfam family: Bacterial small subunit ribosomal RNA
Source: RNAcentral
CCCGCACAAGCGGCGGAGCAUGCGGAUUAAUCGUUGCUACACGAAGAACCUUACUGGGUUUGACAUAGCAGUGGUAGGGAAGAGAAAUCGGACCGACCUUCGGGAGCUGUUACAGGUGUUGCAUGGCUGUCGUCAGCUCGUGUCGUGAGAUGUUCGGUUAAGUCCGCUAACGAGCGCAACCCGCGUUGUGUGUUAUAUGUGUCACACAAUACCGCCGGUAUUAAGCCGGAGGAAGGUGCGGAUGACGUCAAGUCAGCAUGACCUUUAUAUCCAGGGCUACACACACGCUACAAUGGACAGUACAACAGGUUGCCAAGCCGCAAGGCGGAGCCAAUCCUCUAAAGCUGUCCUCAGUUCAGAUUGCAGGCUGCAACUCGCCUGCAUGAAGUUGGAGUUGCUAGUAACCGCAGGUCAGCUAUACUGCGGUGAAUACGUUCCCGGGGAUU